GGCAGAGUAGCACAGCAGAAGCAUGCUGGCCCCAUAACCCAGAGGUUGAUGGAUCAAAACCAUCCUCUGCUA
This 72-nucleotide transfer RNA is filed under the name Pterocles gutturalis (yellow-throated sandgrouse). It matches the Rfam family "tRNA". From Rfam's summary of the family: Transfer RNA (tRNA) molecules are approximately 80 nucleotides in length. Their secondary structure includes four short double-helical elements and three loops (D, anti-codon, and T loops). Lineage: Eukaryota; Metazoa; Chordata; Aves; Pterocliformes; Pteroclidae. The record is from Rfam by way of RNAcentral.